This 200-nucleotide unclassified non-coding RNA is filed under the name uncultured fungus. Its description in RNAcentral is "sequence contains ITS1". Lineage: Eukaryota; Fungi. The record is from RNAcentral.
UUAACUAUUACAUAGUACUCGGACGACACUGAUGGAAGGGGUUUUGGGUCCUCUGGCGGGCGCUCACCAGCCGAGGCCGGUGGCCGGGCGUGGGCCUGACGGCCCGCCAAAGCAACAAAGUGGUAAUAACACAGGGUGGGAGAUCUACCCGCGAGGGCAUGAACUCUGUAAUGAUCCCUCCGCAGGUUCACCUACGGAGA